RNAcentral lists this ribosomal RNA (463 nucleotides) under uncultured bacterium. RNAcentral describes it as "partial 16S ribosomal RNA". It matches the Rfam family "Bacterial small subunit ribosomal RNA", at positions 28 to 507 of the family's 1533-position model. The record is from RNAcentral.
GAUGAACGCUGACGGAAUGCUUAACACAUGCAAGUCGAUGGGGCAUUGUUGCUCACUCCAUGGUAAUCAUGGCGGACGCGUGAGUAACGCCCAAGGGACUUACCCGCAGGACUAGGUUACCCUGCUCCCACCCCUGACCAGAUUGGAUAAUGUCAUGUUGCUUCAUCUCUUUCUUGUGAAAGUAGACGCUUCCGGAGAGCCUUGCGUCCUAUGAGCUAGUUGGUGAGGUAAUGGCACACCAGGGCGAAGAUAGGUAGCCGGCCUGAGAGGGUUGACGGCCACAAGGGGAGUGAGAUACGGCGGUUACUAAUACGGGAGGCAGCAGUGGGAAAUAUUGGACAAUGGGGGCAACCCUGAUCCAGCAGUUCUGUGUGCAAGAAGAAGGCUUUCGGAGUGUAAAGGGCUUUCAGCAGGGAAGAAGUAAGUGACGGUACCUGGAGAAGAAGCGACGGCUAAAUACGUG